CGUCAAGAAAAUCCAAUCAUAAAUGGAGAAGGGGGAUGGUCUAGCGGGGGCGCGUUAAUGGGUACCUCGGCCAGUCCCAGACACAUCCGGGUCUUCGACAGCCCAUUAAGUGUCGGGGGUCAAAAAAUUGCUUUAGGCUGCAGCUUUACCUUGUAGACGUUUUGGUCCCCUGGCAGCCGCCGUACCACCUAGUCUCUCAAAUCUGUGAUUCUCCUUUGGCAGGCUCUCAUUCUUUCACGUCUAAAGAUGGAGACUGAGAACGGCGCUGGGCUCUAUAUUUGGGUGGAGGGAUGUGAGGCAGCUGUCUAUGAUUUGCCUCAUGCUCCAGCAGAGGUGUGAUUUCCCCAGCUGCAGACAGUUUCUGAAGUUGUGUGACAUGUGAAAUUCUGGGAAGUUUCCAGAGGGUCCAUGAAUGUUUGGACCCUAAGCUGUAAGCAAGUUUAGACCACAGUGAAGAGCACAGUCUGGAGCUAGACUGACUAAGGAGAGCGGAGAUGACCGCCAUGCUCCUGAUGUACAGAAGGGCUGCAGACAAUAACCAGUGAGGAGGGCUGCCAUCUUUGUGAAGGUACUGAAGAAGCUGGGGUCAGGGAGGGGACAGGAGGAGAGGAAAUAAGGCAAAGAUGAGCUCAGGGCCCCCAGAGAAUGGAGCCUUUGUGUGGGGUACAGAUGAGGGACAAGGGGGUGAUUGUGUGGGAGGGCCGGAAGUGCCAUGCAGACUGGCACUGCCAUAGCUGGCACUGGAUUCACUUCUGCUCAGAGAACUCCCUAUAUGUCAUGUGGCCAGGAAAAGUAGGGU
RNAcentral lists this small RNA (799 nucleotides) under Rattus norvegicus (Norway rat). RNAcentral's name for it is "uncharacterized LOC102551157". The record is from RNAcentral. Lineage: Eukaryota; Metazoa; Chordata; Mammalia; Rodentia; Muridae.